Molecule: ribosomal RNA, 253 nt
Filed under: uncultured bacterium
Lineage: Bacteria
Description: partial 16S ribosomal RNA
Rfam family: Bacterial small subunit ribosomal RNA
Source: RNAcentral
UACGUAGGGUGCAAGCGUUGUCCGGAAUUAUUGGGCGUAAAGAGCUCGUAGGCGGUUUGUCGCGUCGGCCGUGAAAUCUCCACGCUUAACGUGGAGCGUGCGGUCGAUACGGGCAGACUUGAGUUCGGUAGGGGAGACUGGAAUUCCUGGUGUAGCGGUGAAAUGCGCAGAUAUCAGGAGGAACACCGAUGGCGAAGGCAGCUCGCUGGGACGGUACUGACGCUGAGGCGCGAAAGCGUGGGGAGCAAACAGG